This 772-nucleotide ribosomal RNA is filed under the name uncultured Neocallimastigales. Its description in RNAcentral is "partial large subunit ribosomal RNA". It matches the Rfam family "Eukaryotic large subunit ribosomal RNA", at positions 24 to 628 of the family's 3401-position model. Lineage: Eukaryota; Fungi; Neocallimastigomycota; Neocallimastigomycetes; Neocallimastigales. The record is from RNAcentral.
GUAGUCUCGCACAGAUGCAUAUCAAUAAGCGGAGGAAAAGAAACUAACAAGGAUUCCCUCAGUAACGGCGAGUGAAGCGGGAAGAGCUCAAAUUUGAAAUCUUGAAAGGUCACCUUUCACGAAUUGUAGUUUAAAGAAGUGUUUUCUGUUACGAUCGUAAUAUAAGUUCUUUGGAAUAGGACAUCACAGAGGGUGAGAAUCCCGUCUAUGAUUGCGAUUUGUAGCUUUGUGAUACACUUUCAAAGAGUCGGGUUGUUUGGGAAUGCAGCCCAAAACGGGAGGUAAAUUUCUUCUAAGGCUAAAUAUUGGCGAGAGACCGAUAGCGAACAAGUACCGUGAGGGAAAGAUGAAAAGAACUUUGAAAAGAGAGUUAAAUAGUACGUGAAAUUGUCAAAAGGGAAGCGUUUAACACCAGUGUUGUUUUCUGAAAAUCAACCUCUGUUAGCUUUAUGCAUGUUUGUUUAGACCUAAUCAGCUAUCUUGCAUGUUCUAUUGUUUGCAGUGGUGCACUUUUCAGUUUACAGGUCAACAUCAGUUUUUUUUUACCGUAAAAAAGUUAAAGAAAGGUAGCUCAUGGCUCCGGUCGUGAGUGUUAUAGUCUUUUUCCUAUGCGGUAGGAGAGACUGAGGUCUGCAGUGUAGGCUAUUUGGCUAGAUACUCAGGUGCUAUGUGAUACCAUUCCAUAAACAACUUGUUGAUUAUGUUUUGUCUAUUGCAUACUCGCUUGUACUAUCAUACCUACGCUUAGGAUGUUGAGUCGUAGAGCACGCAG